AUUGGACCCCUGUUUUAGAAUAGUUGUUCCAAAUAUAAUGAAUUUUCCCACCUUUAAGUUAAAAUAUCUAAAUAUUUCUCAUUUUUCUCUUUUACAACAUCAAAAUGACCCCUCGUCUUAGGGACAGUCCCUCAAUUAAGGGUACCCCUCAUUUGGGGGGUUGUUCCCAACCUGAAUUUUUAUCAAUUUCCUUUUUUGACUAUUGUAGUCACAGGCACUUGUUUCUAUCCAUAGGAAGGUAGACUAUCCUUCUAUUUAUAUGGAUAGUCGACCUUCCUAUGGAUAGAAACAAUUAUUAAGUGCCUGUGAUUGUAGUUCCUGAUUAUAUUUUUUUUUUAUUUUUGAUUUGGUGCAAAUGUCAAAAUAAUGAAAUAAUGAGCAAAAUCAUGUUAGUAGAUAGCUUGAGGUGAGAAUUGCAUUUCAUCAAAUUCAAAUUAUCAAAUAUCCUCCUUUUUUUGUUUCUAUGUUUGUUUUCGAUAAUAAAGGUCAAGGGAAACUUUCGGGAGUUCCGCCCAAGUUUAAGCGCCAAAAUUUAAAUAGUAAAUUGCUCACAAUUAAGAAAU
This 563-nucleotide long non-coding RNA is filed under the name Mytilus galloprovincialis (Mediterranean mussel). The record is from RNAcentral. Lineage: Eukaryota; Metazoa; Mollusca; Bivalvia; Mytilida; Mytilidae.